AUGUCUGUCAUUGUGUCUAUUUUUGGAUCGUUCAUUGUCUGUCUUUUUAUCUUAUUGUCUGUCGUUCUAUCAUUCUGUCCGUCGUUCUAUCAUUCAGUCCGUCGUUCUAUCAUUCUGUCCGUCGUUCUAUCAUUCAGUGUGUCGUUCUAUCAUUCCGUCUGUCGUUCUAUCAUUCUGUCUGUCUUUCUAUCAUUCCGUCUGUCGCUCUAUCAUUCUGUCCGUCGUUCUAUCAUUCUGUCUGUCGUUCUAUCAUUCAAUCUGUCGUAUCAUUGUCCGUCGUUCUAUCAUUCAGUCUGUCAUUCUAUCAUUCUGUCUGACGUUCUUUCUACCAUUCUGUCUGUUGUUCUAUCACUCUGUCGUUCUAUCAUUCUGUCUGUCGUUCUAUCAUUCAGUCUGUCGUUCUAUCAUUCUGUCUGUCGUUCUAUCAUUCCGUCUGUCAUUCUAUCAUUCAGUCUGUCGUUCUCUCAUUCUGUCUGUCGUUCUAUCAUUCUGUCCGUCGUUCUAUCAUUCAGUCCAUCGUUCUAUCAUUCUGUCUGUCGUUCUAUCAUUCUGUCUGUCGUUCUCUCAUUCUGUCUGUCGUUCUAUCAUUCUGUCCGUCGUUCUAUCAUUCAGUCCGUCGUUCUAUCAUUCUGUCUGUCGUUGUAUCAUUCUGUCCGUCGUUCUAUCAUUCAGUCUGUCAUUCUAUCAUUCUGUCUGACGUUCUUUCUACCAUUCUGUCUGUUGUUCUAUCACUCUGUCUGUCGUUCUAUCAUUCUGUCUGUCGUUCUAUCAUUCAGUCUGUCGUUCUAUCAUUCUGUCUGUCGUUCUAUCAUUCCGUCUGUCGUUCUAUCAUUCCGUCUGUCGUUCUAUCAUUCAGUCUGUCGUUCUCUCAUUCUGUCUGUCGUUCUAUCAUUCUGUCCGUCGUUCUAUCAUUCAGUCCAUCGUUCUAUCAUUCUGUCUGUCGUUCUAUCAUUCUGUCUGUCGUUCUCUCAUUCUGUCUGUCGUUCUAUCAUUCUGUCCGUCGUUCUAUCAUUCAGUCCGUCGUUCUAUCAUUCUGUCUGUCGUUCUAUCAAUCAGUCUGUUGUUCUCUCAUACUGUCUGUCGUUCUAUCAUCCCGUCCGUCGUUCUAUCAUUCCGUCUGUCGUUCUAUCAUUCCGUCUGUCG
RNAcentral lists this long non-coding RNA (1143 nucleotides) under Carassius auratus (goldfish). RNAcentral describes it as "lncRNA (ENSCARG00000042180.1)". Lineage: Eukaryota; Metazoa; Chordata; Actinopteri; Cypriniformes; Cyprinidae. The record is from RNAcentral.